GUCCACGCCCUAAACGAUGUUAACUAGUUGUUGGGAAGUAAAAUUCUCAGUAACGCAGCCAACGCGAGAAGUUAACCGCCUGGGAAGUACGGUCGCAAGACUAAAACUCAAAGGAAUUGACGGGACCCGCACAAGCGGUGGAUGAUGUGGAUUAAUUCGAUGCAACGCGAAAACCUUACCUACCCUUGACAUGUCAGGAAGCUCUUGUAAUGAGAGUGUGCCCGCAAGGGAGCCUGAACACAGGUGCUGCAUGGCUGUCGU
RNAcentral lists this ribosomal RNA (261 nucleotides) under uncultured bacterium. RNAcentral's name for it is "partial 16S ribosomal RNA". It matches the Rfam family "Bacterial small subunit ribosomal RNA", at positions 793 to 1055 of the family's 1533-position model. The record is from RNAcentral.